UACUAGAGUAGCACUCGCAUAUCAAUAAGCGGAGGAAAAGAAACUAACAAGGAUUCCCCUAGUAACGGCGAGUGAAGCGGGAAGAGCUCAAAUUUGAAAUCUUAAAGGGUUUCCCUUUACGAAUUGUAGUUUAAAGAAGUGUUUUCUGUUGAGGUUUUGGUAAAAGUUCUUUGGAAUAGGACAUCAUAGAGGGUGAGAAUCCCGUAUUUGACCUCUACUUUCAACUUUGUGAUACACUUUCAAAGAGUCGGAUUGUUUGGGAAUGCAGUCCAAAAUGGGUGGUAAAUUUCAUCUAAAGCUAAAUAUUGGCGAGAGACCGAUAGCGAACAAGUACCGUGAGGGAAAGAUGAAAAGAACUUUGAAAAGAGAGUUAAACAGUACGUGAAAUUGUCAAAAGGGAAGCGUUUGACACCAGUGUUGUUUUUCUGAAAAUCAAUUAAAGAACUGUUUAUGCUAAGCUGUUUAGACUUUAUCAGCUAAUCUGUUUAGUUUUGAGCUUUUCUUUAAUGCACUUUUCAGUUAACAAGUCAACAUCAAUUUCUUUUGCUGUAAAAAAGCUUGAGGAAGGUGGCUUGAGAUCUCGUCUUAAGUGUUUAUAGCCUCUUGCCUAUGCAGUCGGAGAGAUUGAGGUCUGCAGCGUAGAUCCUUCGGGGCUAAAUGCAUUUGUGCUAAGUUAUAGCAUUUUAUAGACAACUUGUUGACUAUGAUUUGUCUUGUAGCUUACUCGCUUAUGUUAUUUUACCUACGCUUAGGAUGUUGAGCGCAUGUCUCUCUCU
This 776-nucleotide ribosomal RNA is filed under the name uncultured Neocallimastigales. RNAcentral's name for it is "partial large subunit ribosomal RNA". It matches the Rfam family "Eukaryotic large subunit ribosomal RNA", at positions 20 to 616 of the family's 3401-position model. Lineage: Eukaryota; Fungi; Neocallimastigomycota; Neocallimastigomycetes; Neocallimastigales. The record is from RNAcentral.